AUUGAACGCUGGCGGCAGGCCUAACACAUGCAAGUCGAACGGUAACAGGAAACAGCUUGCUGUUUCGCUGACGAGUGGCGGACGGGUGAGUAAUGUCUGGGAAACUGCCUGAUGGAGGGGGAUAACUACUGGAAACGGUAGCUAAUACCGCAUAACGUCGCAAGCCCAAAGAGGGGGACCUUCGGGCCUCUUGCCAUCGGAUGUGCCCAGAUGGGAUUAGCUAGUAGGUGGGGUAACGGCUCACCUAGGCGACGAUCCCUAGCUGGUCUGAGAGGAUGACCAGCCACACUGGAACUGAGACACGGUCCAGACUCCUACGGGAGGCAGCAGUGGGGAAUAUUGCACAAUGGGCGCAAGCCUGAUGCAGCAAUGCCGCGUGUAUGAAGAAGGCCUUCGGGUUGUAAAGUACUUUCAGCGGGGAGGAAGGGAGUAAAGUUAAUACCUUUACUCAUUGACGUUACCCGCAGAAGAAGCACCGGCUAACUCCGUG
This 490-nucleotide ribosomal RNA is filed under the name uncultured bacterium. Its description in RNAcentral is "partial 16S ribosomal RNA". It matches the Rfam family "Bacterial small subunit ribosomal RNA", at positions 30 to 507 of the family's 1533-position model. The record is from RNAcentral.